CCUACGGGCGGCAGCAGUGGGGAAUAUUGGUCAAUGGGCGCGAGCCUGAAGCAGCCAAGUAGCGUGAAGGAUGACUGCCCUCCGGGUGUUAAACUUUUUUUUUAAAGGAAUAAAGUGGUGCGCGUGUCCCUUUUUGUAUGUACUUUAUGUAUAAGGAUCGGCUAACCACGCGCCAGCAGCCCCGGGAAUACGGAGGGUCCGUGCGUUAUCUGGUUUUGUUGGGUUUAAAGGGAAAGGAGCUGGGUUGUUAAGUCAGUUGUGAAAGUUUGCGGCUCAACCGGAACAGUGCAAUGGAUACUGGGAGUCUUGAGUGCAGUUGAGGUAGGCGGAAGUCGAGGUGUAGCGGUGAAAUGCGUAGAUAUCACGAAGAACUCCGAUGGCGAAGGCAGCUUACUAAACUGCCACUAACGUUGAUGCUCGAAAGUGUGGGUAGCAAACAGGAAUAGAUACCCCAGUAGUC
This 460-nucleotide ribosomal RNA is filed under the name uncultured bacterium. Its description in RNAcentral is "partial 16S ribosomal RNA". It matches the Rfam family "Bacterial small subunit ribosomal RNA", at positions 338 to 795 of the family's 1533-position model. The record is from RNAcentral.